RNAcentral lists this ribosomal RNA (256 nucleotides) under uncultured bacterium. RNAcentral describes it as "partial small subunit ribosomal RNA". It matches the Rfam family "Bacterial small subunit ribosomal RNA", at positions 26 to 288 of the family's 1533-position model. The record is from RNAcentral.
AGGACGAACGCUGGCGGCGUGCUUAACACAUGCAAGUCGAGCGGAAAGGCCCUUCGGGGUACUCGAGCGGCGAACGGGUGAGUAACACGUGAGGAACCUGCCCUGGACUUUGGGAUAACCCUCGGAAACGGGGGCUAAUACCGAAUAUGACUUCCCCUCGCAUGGGGGUGGUGGAAAGUUUUUCGGUCUGGGAUGGUCUCGCGGCCUAUCAGCUUGUUGGUGGGGUAAUGGCCUACCAAGGCGACGACGGGUAGCC